RNAcentral lists this ribosomal RNA (458 nucleotides) under uncultured bacterium. RNAcentral describes it as "partial 16S ribosomal RNA". It matches the Rfam family "Bacterial small subunit ribosomal RNA", at positions 338 to 795 of the family's 1533-position model. The record is from RNAcentral.
CCUACGGGAGGCAGCAGUGAGGAAUAUUGGUCAAUGGGCGAGAGCCUGAACCAGCCAAGUCGCGUGAGGGAGUACUGCCCUAUGGGUUGUAAACCUCUUUUGUCGGGGAGCAAAAGCCGGACGUGUCCGGCUGUGAGAGUACCCGAAGAAAAAGCAUCGGCUAAGUCCGUGCCCGCCGCCGCGGUAAUGCGGAGGAUGCGAGCGUUAGUCGGAUUUAAUGGGUUUAAAGGGUGCGCAGGCGGAUUUUUAAGUCAGCGGUAAACUCGUGGGGCUCAACCCCAUCCAGCCGUUGAAACUGGGGAUCUAGAGUGUGCGAGAGGUAUGCGGAAUGCGUGGUGUAGCGGUGAAAUGCAUAGAUAUCACGCAGAACCCCGAUUGCGAAGGCAGCAUACCGGUGCACAACUGACGCUCAGGCACGAAAGCGUGGGUAUCGAACAGGAUUAGAUACCCGAGUAGUC